RNAcentral lists this unclassified non-coding RNA (345 nucleotides) under soil metagenome. Its description in RNAcentral is "partial contains 5.8S ribosomal RNA, internal transcribed spacer 2, and large subunit ribosomal RNA". The stretch from base 1 to 119 matches the Rfam family "5.8S ribosomal RNA", at positions 35 to 154 of the family's 154-position model. The record is from RNAcentral.
GAUGAAGAACGCAGCGAAAUGCGAUACGUAAUGUGAAUUGCAAAUUCAGUGAAUCAUCGAGUCUUUGAACGCACAUUGCGCCCCCUGGUAUUCCGGGGGGCAUGCCUGUCAGAGCGUCAUUGCUGCCCUCAAGCACGGCUUGUGUGUUGGGCCCCGUCCUCCGAUCCCGGGGGACGGGCCCGAAAGGCAGCGGCGGCACCGCGUCCGGUCCUCGAGCGUAUGGGGCUUUGUCACCCGCUCUGUAGGCCCGGCCGGCGCUUGCCGAUCAACCCAAAUUUUUAUCCAGGUUGACCUCGGAUCAGGUAGGGAUACCCGCUGAACUUAAGCAUAUCAAUAAGCGGAGGA